GAUGAACGCUGGCGGCGUGCCUAAUACAUGCAAGUCGAGCGAACGGACGAGAAGCUUGCUUCUCUGAUGUUAGCGGCGGACGGGUGAGUAACACGUGGAUAACCUACCUAUAAGACUGGGAUAACUUCGGGAAACCGGAGCUAAUACCGGAUGAUAUUUUGAACCGCAUGGUUCAAAAGUGAAAGACGGUCUUGCUGUCACUUAUAGAUGGAUCCGGGCUGCAUUAGCUAGUUGGUAAGGUAACGGCUUACCAAGGCAACGAUGCAUAGCCGACCUGAGAGGGUGAUCGGCCACACUGGAACUGGGACACGGUCCAGACUCCUACGGGAGGCAGCAGUAGGGAAUCUUCCGCAAUGGGCGGAAGCCUGACGGAGCAACGCCGCGUGAGUGAUGACGGUCUUCGGAUCGUAAAACUCUGUUAUUAGGGAAGAACAUAUGUGUAAGUAACUGUGCACAUCUUGACGGUACCUAAUCAGAAAGCCACGGCUAACUACGUG
Molecule: ribosomal RNA, 497 nt
Filed under: uncultured bacterium
Lineage: Bacteria
Description: partial 16S ribosomal RNA
Rfam family: Bacterial small subunit ribosomal RNA
Source: RNAcentral